This is a long non-coding RNA of Perognathus longimembris pacificus (Pacific pocket mouse), 451 nucleotides long. RefSeq lists it as uncharacterized. The record is from RefSeq and is a predicted model, not a curated record. The transcript has 2 exons. Lineage: Eukaryota; Metazoa; Chordata; Mammalia; Rodentia; Heteromyidae.
AAGUGGCCUAGAGUGCUAGCUUGAGCAAAGGAAGCAAAGCAGACUCUAAGUUCAAGCCCCAGGACAGCACAAAACAAACAAAAAUACCCCAAAUAACAAAAAUAAGUAUAAAGUAUUUAGUGUUGUGGCUAAUACAAAGUAACAGUCAGUAAAUGUUCACUGGUAGUGGUACCAACACAUGUUCAUCACAGUCAAGCCUACUGAUUUCUCUUCCUCAUCUAUAAGAAAUAAAUAUAAGUAAUGAUUUUGAUCUUUGAGGAUCAAAUCAGAUAAGUGACUAAUGAGCCUUUAUCAGUUGUUGUCAACCUUCCUUUCAUUUCUCUGCCAAAACACCUGGGUUUCAAAAUUCGAAAUCAAUAAUUAUGCUAAUGUUUAAUAAAAUUAUCUCAAGGUGAAGAAGAAUCACUUUUAACUGGCACAAUUAAAAUGGCACAUACAAUAAUUAAGACAG